RNAcentral lists this ribosomal RNA (640 nucleotides) under uncultured Methanosaeta sp. RNAcentral's name for it is "bacterial SSU rRNA". It matches the Rfam family "Archaeal small subunit ribosomal RNA", at positions 1 to 648 of the family's 1478-position model. Lineage: Archaea; Methanobacteriati; Methanobacteriota; Methanomicrobia; Methanotrichales; Methanotrichaceae. The record is from RNAcentral.
UUCCGGUUGAUCCUGGCGGAGGUUACUGCUAUCGAGGUUCGACUAAGUCAUGCGAGUCGAAUGUAGCAAUACAUGGCGUACUGCUUAGUAACACGUGGACAACCUACCCUCCGGACGGGGAUAAACCCGGGAAACUGGGUAUAAUACCCGAUAGAUCUCGACUGCUGGAAUGCAUCGAGAUCGAAAGCUCCGGCGCCAGAGGAUGGGUCUGCGGCCUAUCAGGUAGUAGUGGGUGUAGCGUACCUACUAGCCUACGACGGGUACGGGUUGUGAGAGCAAGAGCCCGGAGAUGGAUUCUGAGACACGAAUCAGGCCCUACGGGGUGCAGCAGGCGCGAAAACUUUACAAUGCCGGCAACGGCGAUAAGGGGACCUCGAGUGCCAGGUUACAAAUCUGGCUGUCGUGAUGCCUAAAAAGCAUUGCAUAGCAAGGGCCGGGCAAGACCGGUGCCAGCCGCCGCGGUAACACCGGCGGCUCGAGUGGUAACCGUUAUUAUUGGGUCUAAAGGGUCUGUAGCCGGCCGGAUAAGUCUCUUGGGAAAUCCAGCAGCUCAACUGUUGGGCUUUCAGGAGAUACUGUCUGGGUCGAGGCCGGGAGAGGUGAGAGGUACUUCAGGGGUAGGGGUGAAAUCUUGUAAUCC